RNAcentral lists this small RNA (163 nucleotides) under Skermanella aerolata. Its description in RNAcentral is "Manganese sequence". It matches the Rfam family "Manganese Mn2+ riboswitch aptamer (yybP-ykoY)". Rfam says of the family: This RNA was originally discovered in E. coli during a large scale screen and was named SraF. The family was later found to exist upstream of related families of protein genes in many bacteria, including the the yybP and ykoK genes in B. subtilis. The specific functions of these proteins are unknown, but this structured RNA element may be involved in their genetic regulation as a riboswitch. Lineage: Bacteria; Pseudomonadati; Pseudomonadota; Alphaproteobacteria; Rhodospirillales; Azospirillaceae. The record is from Rfam by way of RNAcentral.
CGCCCGUCCAUUGGGGAGUAGCCACCCUUCACGAAGGGGCGCGUGCCAACAGACUCGGGUGUCAUGCCCGUGGCGCGUGCGGCUUACGGAACAUCGUCCGCUAAGGCGACGAUGUGAUCCGGCGGUUCGGCGAGACUGAUGGCACGACCGCCGCCCGAAGGCC